GGUUAUCGGGCGCGGGGGGAGGACUGAGGCUGGCAAGGUGAGAGCUCGGAUUGCCGGAGUGCCGGGAGGAAGCUGCCAUUUGUGAGCUGUGAGUGACGAGCGUGUAAUUUCAGCACCACUAAUGGACACUUAUUUUUCAUCAACUGGAGGAAAGAUGGGAAGGCGGAAGGAAACAAAUGAUCAUUACGGGUUAACCAACACAGAAGACAGAAGGAGUAUCAGCAGGGAUGACAUGGAACUAAUGCCACACAGAGAAGCAACCAGUGUGCCCAAAACAUCUUGGCAAAACUGAUGUAUUCCCAGGCUGUGGGGAGAUUACAGUACAAGUUCCUAUGAGAAUAUAUUGCAGACUGUGUGCUAGGAAAGCACCUCCAUUGGGGAAAAUUUGCCUGUGGAACGAGAAAUACAUAAGCAGAAACUGGGAACUGAAGAAAUGUUGUUAAGGUCAGCAGUGGGAUUUUUUUGAGAGUGUUUGUUUUUUUCUGGUGUGACAGUGGACCACCAAAACAACCUGUGGGGCUGCUGAGGUACAGUUUUGAAGGUGGUGUGAGAUUUAUUGCCAGGCUGGCAAAUCCUCGUGACAUCUUUCAGGGCCAAUGGGAAUUCAAAGUGUACUUGGUGCUUUUAUUCUGCUGAAAGACACACUGCAGAAAAUAAUAAUCAGCAUAUAACACUGUUUCAUUCCAUUUAAAUUUCUCUGCCUUUGCUAAUGUUUGCUUAAUGUGUACUAGCGCAGUACAUGCAUUGUAGAGUAACCAUUACUUCAAUUAUGAGACAUAAUAGGAAGUCACUAAAAGAUUUUUUAAUGGUAUUUUAUGUUAGUAUUUAGAUAUAUUAAGAAAUAAUGCUUUUUCAGUUACUUUUGGCACAACAGACUAAAUUGCAAUAAGAAAAUAACUGAUUAAAGCAGGCUGAUGGUCUUCUGAUUUUACCAUGCAAAAUUCUUCUUUCACAGAUUGCCAGUCAGAAACAAUGUUCAACAUGGAGAGAGCAGGAAGAAGCUUAUACAGAAAAAGAGAGAGAUCCUGAUGGUCCUUCACGAUCCCUUCUCAGACCUGGAAGAUGUAGAUGUGACUGCAAGAUAUCAUCAUCGUCAUCGUGGUGGUCACUGUCCUCGUCAACGGAACAACGCCCAACAACCCACCUCUACUGAAGAGCAACGACUGAACUAUGAACCACGCUGGACCCAUGGUGGUGACAAUCUCCCUCUUGCUCCCUCUAGAGACUCCUUGCUCCUAUUUCCUAUCUUUUCUACUGCCCUUCUUUCCUUCCCCAUCACCCUAAUUUGUACGUAUGAAGACUCCUUGCUUCUAUUUUCUAUCUUUUCUAUCGCCUUUCUUCCCUUCCCCAUUGCCCCAGUCCAUAAUAGUGUCUGUCCUCCCCUUUCCCCAUCUCCCUUAUUAACAUUUGUAAUAAACUGGUUGGAC
Molecule: long non-coding RNA, 1427 nt
Filed under: Gallus gallus (chicken)
Lineage: Eukaryota; Metazoa; Chordata; Aves; Galliformes; Phasianidae
Description: lncRNA (ENSGALG00010004349.1)
Source: RNAcentral